UCCCAUAUGGUAUAGUGGUUAGUAUUCCUGGUUUUCACCUAUGCGGCCGUGGUUUGACUCCCGGCAUGGGAA
Danionella cerebrum is the source of this 72-nucleotide non-coding RNA. The record is from the annotation of a GenBank genome assembly. NCBI's taxonomy places the organism in Eukaryota, Metazoa, Chordata, Actinopteri, Cypriniformes, Danionidae.